RNAcentral lists this ribosomal RNA (376 nucleotides) under Nectophrynoides viviparus (Morogoro tree toad). RNAcentral describes it as "partial 12S ribosomal RNA". It matches the Rfam family "Bacterial small subunit ribosomal RNA", at positions 794 to 1384 of the family's 1533-position model. The record is from RNAcentral. Lineage: Eukaryota; Metazoa; Chordata; Amphibia; Anura; Bufonidae.
GCCCUGCCGUAAACUUUUAAUUACAUCCAAACCACCGGGGAACUACGAGCCAAGCUUAAAACCCAAAGGACUUGACGGUACCCCACUUCCCCCUAGAGGAGCCUGUUCUGUAAUCGAUAAUCCACGUUUAACCUCACCAUUUUUAGUUACCAGCCUGUAUACCUCCGUCGUCAGCUUACCACGUGAGCGUCAGUUAGUGAGCCCAAUGUAUUUCACCAAAACGUCAGGUCAAGGUGCAGUAUAUGAAAUGGAAAGAGAUGGGCUACACUUUCUACUUUAGAAAAAACGAAAGACUACAUAUGAAAUCUAGUUAGAAGGCGGAUUUAGUAGUAAAAAGGAAUCAGCAUGUCCCUUUUAACCUGGCACUGGGGUGUGU